AGCGGCGGACGGGUGAGUAACGCGUGGGUAACCUGCCUCAUACAGGGGGAUAACAGUUGGAAAUGGCUGCUAAUACCGCAUAAGCGCACAGUACCGCAUGGUACGGUGUGAAAAACUCCGGUGGUAUGAGAUGGACCCGCGUCUGAUUAGGUAGUUGGUGGGGUAACGGCCUACCAAGCCGACGAUCAGUAGCCGACCUGAGAGGGUGACCGGCCACAUUGGGACUGAGACACGGCCCAA
This 240-nucleotide ribosomal RNA is filed under the name uncultured bacterium. RNAcentral describes it as "partial 16S ribosomal RNA". It matches the Rfam family "Bacterial small subunit ribosomal RNA", at positions 94 to 334 of the family's 1533-position model. The record is from RNAcentral.